GCUGUGAAGAGGCCUUCUCCUUCAUAAUUCGGUCCUGCUAGAAUUUCGCCAUGGGGCGAAAUGAUGACACUACCUCCUGCCCAAACAAUGGAAUCUGGAGUGACAUCUUCUUCUGUAGGACUGUAAAGAUACUCAGGUGGAGGUGGGUAAUCUUUCCUCCGACAGAACUGGAUGGGUGAAAGAACAUAGCAUCCACCCUCAAUAGCAACGUGUCUCAUUGUAGCUACCCAUGUAUCCCCGGAAUCGGCAGUAGGAGCACAAUAUAUCUCAAUACCUAUAGAGAUGUACAUUCGUAUUUUGUGAUCAAUCAAUCCCAUAUCAAAGCCAUAAUGUAUUUCAAGCCUAUUUAUAGGCUAAAACCCUAACAACUUAAAAAAGAGUACUGAAGUAUUUCAAGCCAAACCAUAUUAGUUAGUGAAGAAAAAGACAUACCUUUGCCAUACAUUGCUGUCCUUAGAAGCGGCAUUCUAUUUUCCCAACAAAUGACCGAACCAAGUUUUCCAUAUGGAGUGUCAUAAACUGGAGUUGUCGAGCAAUCUCCGAAACCCCAGACGAGCCGCUCCCAAUAUGUUGGCAUGAGUUUCCUAUGUUUUCCAAGGUAAUUACCUUUAGGAUCAAAGAAGAGAACAGUGCAAUACAAUGUGUAUCCCUCUCUCUCAAUAACACCUGUCACUAAGUAGACUCUGUAUUUCGCAGCCAUUGAUGCCAAUCUAUCAACUUCAGGUCCUGAAAAUACAUUAAUUUGAGAUUAAAGAUGAAACAUGUCAGCUGAAGGUUCAUCACAAAGCAGCAUAAGUAGAUUUUGUUUCAACAACUUAUUAAGUGGCUCAGUUCUUUAGCUAUUUAAGGGAGAAAAAGAGAGGUAAUUGACCCGGAACAUUAAUGGCAGAAGCAUGGUACUUGCGGAAACUUUCUUUCCCUCUUGGCGACCGGUCAGCGAAGUUAUAUCCUCGGGGAUACCCACCGAUAAAUGCUUCAGGAAACACAACCAGUUGGGAUCCCAGUGCAGCUGCUUCUUUCAAAAACCUCUCAGCCUUAUCUGCUCUCAAAAUCACAUUGCAAGAAGUAAAUUAAUUGGUUGAAUGGAGAGAAUGAAAAUUAACUUUUAAGAGAUCCCGAAUGACUUUUUGGUUGCUGAGAAAACUCAAGGAAAAACAGACCUAGAUGAAACUUGAAACUCUCAUAUUUUCAGCUGUUUUGUAACUAAGAAAAGAGAAACCACCUCAACUCAACUCAUCAAAAUAAUUGUAAAAGCAGUAAUUCCUUGAUUGGCAGCUGAAAAUAUGAUCAGGGUUCAAUCAUCCUUUUCUUUUUUUCAGUCUCUGAGAAACCAAUUAGAUCACAUAUUCCAUUACACAAGUUGCACAAUUGAAAGAAAUGGUACGUUACCUAGAGUGGCAGGAGUAUCAUAAAAGAUACUAGAAGCUUGAACAACGGUGGCUCUAACAGUUGAAGACAUUGCAGAAAAUUGUAUGUUUUUUCGUUUCCCCUUUGUUUGAGGAUUCCUCACACUGCGUUCAGUAUAUAUAUUGCCCAUGACAUUGUGGACCAGCCACUUGACUUAUACAAAUUGAAAAUGACUGAGUCAUCUGUGAAAAGCAAUUUAAGAUAACAUUCAAAAUUAAUAAGCUUUAAUUUUUAUUUAUAUAUAUAUAUACAUAAUCUACAAGUUGUUAUCAUUAUAUUUGAAUAAAAAGAGGGACCCGCCCACAUGCAUGGAUUCCAUCCAUCUAGCACACAGAUAAAUUGUCUUUAGUGGCGGCUGAGGCUUUCUAUGACUUAUACCAUAUAUCUAUACACCCCAGUAUAUAGCUAAAAACUGGGUAAUGUAUUGGCCCCUACCUAAAAUUAUUGAUUGAUUCAAUGACAGCUAUCUGAGAAAAAUAAAAAAGGGAGAACUAUUCUUACGCUUGCCUUGAUUUAAGCAAAUAUACUUUUAAUUAGGAAUUCUAAUUUUCAUAUUUUACCCCAAACAGAUAAUCAAUAAAAUUAUUCUCCAAAUAUGUAUUUUAAUAGCAACAAAAAUGAGAAUUCCAUAAUUAUCCCUUUUAAAAUCUUUAAUAUGACAAGUCGUAAUUUAAUGUGUUUGGUAGCUCUCCUUUUUCUUUUUUUCUCCUCUACAUCACUUUCUCCAUAUAAUGUCUUUGAUAUCCUCUCCAUAUCAUGUUGUUGAUAUCCUACCUUUGACAUUUUUUUUUAUCUAUGUGUUGAAGUGACUACACUUUUAGAUUUCUUUUCACUCUUUUAAUAUUUUCAUAUAUAUUUAUUAACUUUAAUAAAUUUUUGAAAACAUUAAACAUAAAAUUAUAAUAUAUGAUAAAUAAUUAAUGAUAACAAAUUAAAUAUAAAUAUAAGUAUGAAAUGGACAAAAAAUAAAAAAUUUAUCCUACAAAUAAUAGACUAUAUAGUUUAAAAUAUUAGUUAUAAUAAUAUAUUUGAUACUUUAGAGUUUAGAUUAAAAAAUUAUGUUUUAUUUUUUAGAGGUUAGCAUAUAAUAUUUCCAUUAAACAAAGAUUUUUUUAUAUGAAUCCUAAAUAAAAUGUUUAUUUAUUUUGCAAAUUCUUAUCAUAUGCGAUAUAUAUAUAUAUAUAUAUCAUGUUAUUUAUAAUUUUUAUUAUUUUGUGUCAAAAUCACAGUCAAUGAUGAUAAUUUUAGUUAGUAUAGAGCUCUUAAAAGGAUGAUAUGAUGUAACAAAUAUGAAGUUAUUAAUUAUUUACUGAUAUUCUGGUUUUACUUUUAUUAAUCCUUAUUCCAUACAUUAUAUUUUAUGAGCAUCCUAGUUUGACAUUUCUUAUACUAUACAUGGCUUAGGUGCAUUAGAAGUUGCACGGAAGAUCCAAGUUAUAGAUUCCUUUUUUAAUUCAAUAUUUUAAAAAAAAAAUUAUACUUUCAGUCAAUGUCUCAUAUUUCAAACACGUACACACUCUAGAAUUUCUCGAAUUGUAGUCUAGAAUGUCAACUUAGUGUUUGAUGAAAAAAGGUAUAAACAAAUAUAUGAAAAAAGUAAUCAACAAGCAUAGGAUUCUAUUUGAAUAAAAAAGAGCCACUUACAUGCAUUGAUAAAGGAAACUCCAACUCAGCUAGCAUACAAUCCAUGCCAAAGCAGAAUCUUUACGUAAGAAGUUGAUAAUGCAAUUUGCCAGGAAGGAAAACUACUCUCCAUAUUUGUAAUGUGGAAAAUCAAGGUUGGAAGGAAAUUUUCACUUACUUAUUCUGUAUAAUAUUCCCUUUUUUUUUUUUUUUUGUAAAGAAAGUAUGUAUUGUUUAUUUAUUUUUUAGAAAACAAUUAGUAAAGUGUGGUGCGAAUUCAACCUUUCAAAAAUAGUUUCUAUUCUUCAUGGUAUCGGAGCUAGUUAAUCUAAAACAAUCCAAAGCUUCCAUGGAAACCCCAGAAAAUGUUCUUAGCAUUCAGGCUUUUCAUCAAUGCUCGAGCCUCAUCUCCAUCAAACUGAAUAUGUCCAAUCUCCUUUUGUGGCACUCACAAGUUCUUCCUCUUGUGCGAAGCCUUGGAUUAGUCCAUCAUCUCUCUGAAAAUAGACACGCAUAAGAGGGGAUAAUGGAUAGUGAAACAAAGGAGACCUAUGAUUAGUCAAUAGAGACAUGGUCUCACAAUGAUGAUCUACUUACCUCCUGGCUUCUUGGACCCAUGACAGAAGAAGUGAUUCUUUUAUUGGAUGGAACAGAGAUUGCCUAUGAUGUUUGGAACUCUCUGGAAGAAAAACUCCUUCCAAUGACCAAAGAGAAGGAUAUGCAAUUGACCAAUAGACUCCGAGGGCUGAAGAAAGGCACAAGGUCCCUUGAUGAAUAUCUAAGGGAGUUCAAAGAAAUUUUUGAUGCAUUAGCUACAGUUAGAAAACCAGUAAGUGACCUAGACAAAGUUUUUCAACUAGCUCAAGGUCUCAUAACUAAAUACAUGGAUUUUCGGGUGGCCAUGUUAUCAAAGCCACCAUAUCCCUCUUACAAUCAAUUUGUUCUGGCUCUACAAGGGCAUGAACAAAUGAUUAUGAUAGAAAAUGAAGAGAACAAAGAGUCAAUAAACCAUGAACAAGCCUAUUUUACCCAAUGAGGAAGACGAAGAAAUCAAGGAGGAAGAUUUCUUUCUAGAGGUCAUGACUUCAUUCUAGCAAGACGAUUCAAUCACAAUGCUACCAAUGACCAAAGGCAGAAUGUUCAUCCCAACACCAGAAAUCCAAGAAAUAGCUUCAACAACCAGCUUCCACCAGAACAAAAACUCCAAAAAUCUAAAGGUACUCUUAUUUACCAAAUUUUUAAUAAAGCUAACCAUUCAGCUUUGGAUUGCUAGAACAGAUUCAACUAUUUGUAUCAAUCAGAAGAGAUUCCUCAAGCUUUGGCUGCUAUGGCUCUAAAUGAAGAAGAUAAGGAUCCUAAUUUUUAUGUGGACUCGAGAGCAAAAACCCAUAUAACAAAUGACCUAGGUAAGAUUACCCAAGUAAUUCCAUAUAAAGGGCAUGAUGCAAUUUUUGUUGGAAAUAGAGAAGCUGUAAGAAUCUCACAAAUUGGUGAAGCUAGACUAAAAACUAAACAUAUAGAUCUAAAGCUUAAAAAAUUAUUGGUUAUUCCAAAAAUUAAGAAAAAAUUGUUAUCCAUUGGACAACGUACCUCUGAUAACCCAUGCUCCAUAGAAUUCUCAUCAACUAGUUUUGUCAUUAAGGAUCAACUUCAACAAGUGCUAGCUAGAGGAACUAAGAAGAGAGGUCUCUAUGCAUUGGAGGAAAAUGUGAUUCAAGCCAUGAUAGUUACUAGGUCUAGCAAGGCACCAUAAGAAGUGUGGCAUCAACGCAUGGGGAAUCUGCAAACAAAAUCUAUAAAGCUUCUACAAGAUAAGAAUUUCAUUGAAGUAUCUAGUUGGAUGAAAUCAACAAUAGUUUGUGUUAGUUUUCAAUUAGGAAAAAGUUGUAAAGUUUCUUUUGGCUUAAAAAAUAAAAUUUCCAGCAAUCUUCUUGAAAAAAUUCAUUGUGACUUAUGGGGACUUGCACCAAAUAAUUCAACUCAAGGAUACAAGUAUUAUGUUGUCUUUAUUGAUGAUCAUACUCACUAUACAUGGCUUUAUCCCUUGAGAAGAAAAUCAAAUUUCUAUGAAUGUUUUUUGAAGUUUCAAAAUCUGGUUGAGAAUCAACUUGAAAGAUAGAUAAAAAUCUUCCAAAGUGAUGGUGGAGGUGAGUUUCAAUCAAUUAAAUUUCAAAAUCACCUAAGCAAGUGUGGAAUUUUGCAACGAGUCUCAUGCCCAUGAACUCCAGAACAAAAUGGGGUUGUAGAGAGAAAGCAUAAACACAUUGUUGAAAUGGGUUUAACAAUGCUUUUCAAUGCCAAAUUACCAUUGAGUCUAUGGGUAGAUGCAUUCCAUACUGUCGUAUACCUUAUUAAUCGACUGCCUUCCAUGGUGUUGAAAAUGUAGAGUCCAUUCUUUAUGUUUUUCAAACAAUAUCCAGAAUAUAGGAGCUUGAGAAUUUUUUGUUGUCGAUGUUUUCCAUACCUUUGAGACUACGGGAAGAAUAAAUUCUCACCUAAGAUAUCUCCAUGUGUUUUUAUUGGAUAUAGCUCUCUACACAAGGGUUAUAGAUGCUUGCAUCCUUCAACUAAAAGAGUUUACAUAUCUCAUCAUGUCAUCUUCAAUGAAAAUUGCUUUCCUUAUGCUAACUCUCUUGUUAAGAAAAAUCAUUUACAGAUUCCUAUAGAAAUGGUAUCAUUCUCAACUUCAGAUGUUUUUUGUGAGACUUAAAAAAUGGAUCACCAAACUAAGUCUUGGAAGGAGAACACUGCUAACCAAUCAAGCAACUCCAAGAAGUUCAACCAUUGGUCAUGCACUACUAGGUAAAGAAACUGGUUUAGUGUUGACGGAAGAAUUUCUACUAGUUGUAUUACUAACCAAAAUACAAAAGCAUCAUGUGUUAAUCCGACUGGAACUCCCACUACUAUUACUGUUGAAAUUUCCACUAUUGUUACUAGUAAAAAUGACCAUAAUACCGUCAUUACUACUGAAACUCCCACUGAUGUUGCUCUUGGUUCUAGUGGCCACAAUUUCAACACUGCAACUACUAUUGGAACACUCUCCUAGAUUGAGUCUACUAGUAGCUACAAGCCUGCCAAUGUUAGUAAUUUUCCUUAUAUCAGUAAGCACCUAGUAGUUGAUCUCUCUUUCCCUUAAAAAUGGCAGAAAAAUGAGCAUGUUGGUUCAUCUCCGCAAAACAAAUCCACCAGUCACAGUGUUGAUGAUGAAGUUCCUGAUAUUAGCAAGCAAAUUGUUGUUGACAUCUCUUCUCCUCAGGGCUAACACAUAGAUAACAAAGAAACUCAUAUGAUCACCAGAAGUAAACUCAAGAAUGAUCCCAGUUUAAAGUCUCAAAUGGUUACUUUUGUUGCCAUAAGAAGUAAUAUUAGUGAGCCAAAAACAUAUUGUACAACAUUGAAAAUUCCCUAUUGGUUCAAACAAUGCAAGAGGAAAUUAAGGAUUUAAUCCAAAAUCGAACAUGGGAUUUGGUUCCUAGGCCUCCAACUGCAAAUAUUGUGGGUUCUAAAUGGGUGUUUAAAACAAAGCUAAAGGAAGAUGGAACCAUAGAUAGAUACAAAGCACAAUUAGUUGCUAGAGAUUUUUCUCAAAUACCGGGUUUGGACUUUGGAGAGACCUUCAGCCUAGUUAUAAAGCAUACUAUAAUCAGAUUGAUCCUUUCAUUAUCAGUAACCUUGGGGUGGACAAUGAGGCAAUCAGAUGUUAAGAAUGCCUUCAUACAUGGGUUUCUAAAGGAAAAAGUACUCAUGGAACAACCUCCAGGAUUUAUAAACAAGGACUUUCUGAAUCAUGUCUACAAAUUGAAUUGUUCUCUUUAUAGCCUUAAGCAAGCUCCAAGGGCCUAGUUAAAUAAACUAUUUCAAUGUCUUCUUCAUCUGGGGUUUUACUGUGGUAAAAUAGACUCGUCUUUAUUUAUUCUUCGCAAAGGUCAGUCUAUUGUUUUGCUACUUAUCUAUGUUGAUGAUAUUAUAGUCACAGGCAAUGAUAACAACAUCAUUAGUGACCUCAUCAGCACCCUGAGUAGUGAAUUUUCUCUCAAGGACUUAGGAUUUUUGCAUUAUUUUUUGGGAUUGGAGGUUAAAUAUCUUCUUAAUGGGUUGUUUCUUUCUCAAACAAAGUACACUAGAGAUCUCCUAGAGCACACAAAAAUGAUGGAGUGUACUCAUAUCAACACAUCCAUGGCUCUUAAGUCCAUCAUCACACCUUCUGAUGAACAACCUAUUGAUCCUACAUGAUAUAGGUAACUUGUUGGAUUCCCCUAAUAUUUAACCUUCACAAGGCUUGAUUUUGUGCAUGCAGUAAACAAGGCCUACCAACAUUUCCAAGCACCCACUAAAGUUGACUUGCAAGCUGUCAAACGCAUCCUUAGAUAUUUGAAGGAAACAAUGGAGCAUGGAAUCAGGUUUUUCAAGCAAAGUUCGCUUCGUCUCACUGGUUUUUGUGAUGCUGAUUGGGCAGGAUGCACAAACACAAGAAGAAGCACAUCUAGGUAUUAUAUUUUUCUAGGAGCCAAUUGUAUCUCAUGGUCCUCAAAGCGACAACCUACAAUUUCUAGAUCAAGCACCGAGGCCAAAUAUCGAUCCCUUGCGUCCAGUGCUGCAGAAAUAACUCGGCUUACUUUCCUUCUCCAUGAUAUUGGCAUUCAACUAUGUGAACCUUCUCAAUUUCUAUGCGAUAACCUCAGUGCCCUUCACAUGACAGUACAUCUCGUCUUCCAUGCAUGGUCCAAGCAUAUUGAGUUGGACUAUCAUUUUAUUCGGAAAAAAAGUUGCAAGUGGAGUUUUGAUUACUUGUUUCCUUCCAUCGUCCUUACAAGUAGCUGAUAUAUUCACAAAGACACUCCCUAAGACUUCAUUCCAAGUCUUUCGAUUCAAGCUAGGAGUGCACAAGUUACCACUCACUAGCUUGCAGGGGGCUAAUAAAGGAAAGUCAAACUCAACUAGCAUACAAUCCAUGCCAAAGCAAUCUUUACGUGAGAAGUUAGUAAUGCAAUCUGCUAGGUAGGAAAACUACUCUCAAUAUUUGUAAUGUGGAAAAUCAAGGCUGGAAGGAAAUCUUCACUUACCUGUUCUGUAUAAUAUUCCCUUUUCUAUGCAAAUAAAGUAUGUAUUGUUUAUUUAUUUUUUAGAAAAAAUCAGUAAAGCGUGGUACAAAUUCAAUCUUUCAAAAAUAGUUUAUGUUCUUCAUGCAUGGAUAAUAAAUCCCAUGGAUAAAUUGUAUUUAGCAGCGGCUGAAGCUUUCUAUAUGACUAAAGAGAAAAAAAGUCAUUAAAAAACUAAUUGCCAUGUGACUACGUCUACCAGUAGAUAGUUGAGAACAAGGUCUAACUCUUAACCUUUUGUACUACCUUUACAAAGGAACACAAAAUUGAGAGAUUCAAAGGCAACUAUAGUAUAAAUAUUGUUUCAUAAAUUACUUUUCAAAUUUAAUUUGAUAACAAAAAUUUAGAAUACAAAAGUAUGAAAAAUUUGUUCCAUUCCCAAAAUUUUUGCAAAUAAAAUUUUAAAGUAAUAAAUUAACACCAUGACUCUUUUCACAUCUUAUUCUCCUUUCUAUCAAAGAAAUGAUAGUAAUAAUCUUAUCUAUAAAUUUUAAAUGAGGCAAGAUCAUUGAAUUUUUAUUUUCUUUUAUUUUCUUGUUAUGUAAUUAUCAAACACAUUUUUUUUUUAAGACAAAAAAAAAUUAGACUGAAGAAAUAUAUUUUUGCCCUGAUUUAGUCACUUGGAUUGCAAUUCGAAGGAUGGAAAUAAAAGUGUAUUCUUGGAGUUAAAGAUCAAUUGAAAGCUUAAAGCGGCUUGUUCUCGAAUGAAUUUAAUGAAUGACGAAGAAUACAUGUGUUGUAAUUUUUUGGAUUUGUAGGGGAAUUUUAUGAAGCUCUUUUCUCUUUGUCAGGCUUCUUUUUUUGUAUGAUUUUUUUUCUUCAUCAUUUUCAUUCAAGGAAGUCGCAUAUAUUUAGAGAUGAAAUUAAAAAAUUAAAUUUAGAAUUCCUAAGAUUUGAUUACUUAAUUAAAAAAAAUUGGUUUCUUGAUUUUAGCAACUUGUCUCCUCUAUUAAGGAAGUUUGCUAAUAAGAGAAUAUUUAAUUAUCAUUUUCUUUUGACUUCAAUUAGAAGAUUUGAUUCGUUUGUUCAUAAAAUUUGAAAACAAAAAAAAAAAUUAUUUCUAUUUUUUUAUUUCAAUUGUUUAAUUUAAUUUGAUUUUGGAAGACUUUAUUUUAUAGUUUUCCAAAUUUUGUUACAUGUCAUUUUUUGAAUUGCAUGUUACAUAUUCAAUAUACAUGACCCAUCACUUAUUAAGCAUAAAUUUCGUUGAGCUAAGGAGUUACAAUUUUGAAGACUAAUUUGAUAGUAUUUUAAUCCACUAAAAUUUUUUAUGUCUACAAAUGCCCCGUCUUCAAGACAAACACACACAUGCAUUGUCAUGUAUAAAAGAUGAGUCUUGAAGUUAGCAUUUUGAAUCUUUAAUAUCCUUCUUUGAUAUUUUUUUUUUCAAAGAAAUAUUUUAAUAGGAAAUUUCCUAUUUCAAAAUACCUUUCUUCAACUUUUUCCAAAAACGACUUUAUUUUCUUCCUUUUUUUCUACCUGGUAUCAAGGAAAGACUUUGUGUUAAUGGGAAAGUUUCUUAUUUGAACAUAUAUUUGCUUUUCUCAUGGUAUUUUCACUUCCAAUUUAUCAUCCUACAAGAAGUCCUUCACCCUUGGUCGAUUGUAUCUUAGACUUGAUCACAUGCCUUUAACUUGUAAUUCUUGCUCCACUUUAUUUAUUUUAUUUUAUUUUAUUUUAUUUUUAAAAAAGAAUACAAUGUAUAUGAGCAAGACCUUGAGCAAGAGGAGCAAGGUGGAGGGUGGAGCAUGAGCUAGCCUUAGGGUAAGACCUUGAGCAAGAGAAGUAAUGUGGAGUGUAGAUCACAAACUUCUCUGGAGCAUGGUAGGCAUACCGUCACAGAAUUGUCUUCCACAUGGAGCAUGGUAGGGUUUAUACAUAUGAUAGGGUGUGCCAUCAUGUAACAAUGAAGAACAACAAUCCAUGGUGUACAAUUGGGAACAACAAUUCAUGCUAUCAAGCUUCAACAUUUUUUUUUACCCCCAUCUCCAUUUUUUCAACUUCUUUUUUUUUUUUUUGUCCUUUUUUUUUCCCUUUUUUUAAGCAUUGUUUUUAAGGAAGAAAUAGGUUUGCCAUCCCUUACUAUGAGGUCAAUAUCCAUCACUUGCAAAGACAAAUUUGCUUUUUGAUAUUUUUUCUUCUUCAAUAAUUAACUUAACAUUUUAAUAUAUAUAUAUAUAUUUUAACAAACUUGAAUAUUCAUAAUAAAAUAAAUAUUUAAUGUCUUUACUCAUCCAAAUUAGCUUGACUUGAAUACUUAGUAGAUCCAUACUUAACACCCAUGUAGACGAGCUGUAACCUUGAUGGCAGGUUGUGUUGUAUUUUCGACACUUAAUGUGCCUUAAGAGUUAAAGUCUUCUCUCAUACAAAUUAGCUUGGUUUGGAUGCACAAUGGUGUGUAACUUUUUAACACUUUAUUAAACUUGGAACCAUAUUUAACACCCACGUAGACAAGUCAUAAUCAUGACAUGGAUCACUGUUUUAUUUUUAGCUCUUAAUGUGGCUUAAAUAUUAAAUUCUUCACUCAUACAAAUUAAAUUGGGUUAGAUGCACAAUGGUGUUCAACUUGUUAACAGUUAAUUAAAAUUAGAACCAUAUUUAACACCCAUACAAACAAGUCAUAACUUUGACGUGGAGCAGUGUUGUAUCUUUGGCUUAAUGCCGCUUAAGUGUUAAAGUCUUCACUCAUAUGAAUUAGCUUCACUUAGAUGCAUAGUUGUAUUAUACUUUUUAACACUUAAUUUAAAUUUGGACCAUAUUGAAAACCCAUGUGAACAAGACAUAACCUUGUAGUGGUGUUAUAUUUUUGACACUUAAUGUAGCUUAAAUGCUAAAGUCUUCACUUCUAUGAAUUGGUUCACCUUGGAUGAAUAGUGAUGUCUAAAUUGUAAUAAUUAAAAUUGAAACCAUAUUUAACACUCAUGUAGAUAAUCAUAACUUUGACGUAAUGGCAUUGUAUUUUUGACACUUAAUGCAGCUUAGGUGCUAAAGUUUUCACUCAUGAGAAUUGGUAUGAGUUAGAUGCAUUGUGGUGUCCAACUUUUUAACACUCAAUUAAAAUUGGAACCAUAUUUAACACCAAUGUAGAUAAGUCAUAACCUUGACGUGAAGCGAUAUUGUAUUUUUGACACUAAAUGCAACUUAGGUGCUAAAGUCUUCACCCACGCAAAUUGGUUCAUCUUGGAUGCACAAUGGUGUCGAAUUUUUUUAACAUAUAAUUAAAAUUUGAACCAUAUUUGACACUCAUGUAGACAAGUCAUAACCAUGAUGUAGAGUAGUGUUGUAUUUUUAACACUUAAUAUGACUUUACUGGUAAAUUCUUUACUCAUGUGAAUUGCCUUGAUUUGGAUGCACAACUAACUUUUUAACAUUUUAUUAAAUUGGGUAUCAUAUGUGUUGUUUUUUUAACACUUAAUACGACUUUAGUGGUAAAUUCUUUACUCAUGUGAAUUGUCUUGAUUUGGAUGCACAAUGAUGCCUAACUUUUUAACAUUUUAUUAAAUUGGUAUCAUAUUUAACACCAAUGUAGACAAGUCAUAACUUUAAUGUAGAUGCGGUGUAGUAUUUUUGGCACUUAAUAUUGUUUAAGUGCUAAAGUCUUCACUCAUGUGAAUUUUCUUGGUUGAGAUGCACAAUGGUGUGUAACAUUUUAACAUUUAAUUAAAAUUGGAACCAUAUUUAACACUCGUGUAGAGAAGUCAUAACCUUGACAUGGAGUAAUAUGCAAUUUUUUUAUAUUUAAUAUGACUUAAGUGCUAAAGUUUUCACUCAUGCGAAUUGACUUGACUUGGAUGCAUAGUGAUGUCUAACAUUUUAACACUUAAUUAAAAUUAGAGCUAUAUUUAAUAAUCAUGUGGACAAGAAAUAACUUUGACGUGAAACAAUAUUGUAAUUUUGACACUUAAUGUUGCUUAAAUGCCAAAGUCUUCACUCAUACAUAUUGACUUAGCUUGGAUGAAAAGUGGUAUCCAACUUUUUGACACUUUCUUAAAUUUGGAAUUAUGUUUAACAUCAAUAUAGACAAGUAAUAACCUUGACGCAGAGUGAUGUUAUAUUUUUAGCACUUAAUAUAGCUUAAGUGCUAAAAUAUCCACUUCUAAGAAUUGACUUGGCUUGGAUGCAUAAUGGUGUCCUACUUUUUAACACUUAAUUGAAAGUGAAAUCAUAUUUAACACCCAUUGUAUGCUAGUCGUAAACUUGAUAUAGAGCAUUGUGCAACUUUUUAACACUUAAUGCGACUUAAAGUGCUAAAGCCUUUACUCAUAUGAAUUAAUUGAACUUAGAUGCACAUUUGUUUCCAACUUUUUAAUACAUAAUUAAAAUUAAAACCAUAUUUAAAAACCAUGUAGACAAAGACAUAAUCUUAACAUGGAGCUAUGUAUAACUCUUAACACUUAAUUAAAAUUGAGAUUACACUUAACAACCACAUAUUCCUCCUAUUUUUCAAUUUUUUCUUGUGGUGAUGAUUGAACUUAACUAGUUUGUCCAAGUUGCCUAUAUACCCUUAACAGAGAGGGAAUCAAGUCAAACUUAGUUCAAAGUAUUUCUUUUAAUCUCUAACUUUUGCCAAGGCUAAUGAUUUUAAUCUUACAAGCUUGUCUUAACUUUUGACCAUAUAUGUAGUCUUUUUAGGUUUCAAUUUAACGGCCUAUAUAUGACUUGUACAAAUUGAAAAUGACUUCAAUCAUGUGUAAAAAAUAAUAAAAGAUAUUCAUUCCUAGUUUUAGGGCAACGAAAAAUAGUUGAUCCUUUUUUAUAUUAUUAUUAUUGUUGUUGUUAUUAUAAUUAUUAUUUCACCUUACAAAAAGACCUUCUGCAAUUAAUAUUUUAUACAUAUAUAUAUAUAUAUAUUUUAUCUUUUAUAUAUUUAGUUUUCAUAGUAUUUUUUAAUUCAAUAUAUAUAUUUUUUAAAUAUCUAUACUUUCGGUCAAUGUCUCAAAUUUAAAGCACGUGCAUGCUCUAGAAAUUCUCAAGUUGUAGGCUUGUGGCCUACAAUGUCAACUUAGAGUUUGAUGAAAAAGCGCAUAAACAAAGACAAAAAAAUUAAUCUACAAGUACUUGGAUUCUAUUUGAAUAAAAAAGAGCCACCCACAUGCAUGGAAUAAAUAUAUAUCCCAUGGAUUAGUUGUAUUUAGCCACGGCUGAAGCUUUCCACUAUGACUUAAAAAAAAAAAAAAAGAGGAUAAUGCCAUUAAAAAACUGAUUGCUACGUGGGUAUGCCUGCCAGUAGAUGGCUGAAAACUAAGUUCUAUUCUUUUCAAUAGUUGAGAGAUUCAAUGGCAACUAUCGUAUAAACAAUGUUUCAUAAAUUACUUUUAAAUUUUGACAGCAAAGACUAAAAAUGUAAAACCAUAAAAAAUUUGUUCCAUUCCCAAAUUUUUAAAAAUAAAAUUGAAAAUAAUAUAUUAACGCCCAUGACUGUUUUCACAUCUUAUUCUCAUUUCUAUCAAUGCAAUCAUCGUAAGCAUCUUAUCUAGAAAUAUGGCCUAGAGCCAUAGAGCUGCCUUUUCUUUAGUCCUAGAGCCAUUUCAUGAGCUAAUAGUAGUCUUUCCUUAGCAUUUCCAGCCCAAAGCUCCCAUUUCCUUAGGCCUAGAGACGUUUUCAGCCCAGAGCCGCUGUUUCUUUCGGCCUAUAACCAUUUUCAGCCUGAAGCUGCCUUUCUCUAGCAUUUUCAGCCCAAAGCUUCCUUUCCUUGGCAUAUUAGCCCGAAGCUUCUAUUUCUUUAGGCCUGGAGCCAUUUCAACCCAGAACUGUCAUUUCUUCUAAAUAGCUUCUCUUUUAAAAGACUUCAGUUUGUCUUUCUAGUCACAAAAUUUAAGGCUUUGUUCCAGGUUUGAAGAAGCUGGUAAAAAUCUGGCUGUUGACUAAGCUCAACUAAAAAACAGUAAAGCUUGCUGACCUGGGUAAUAAAUAACAGCUAUCUUGGCAGUAUUGUUAGUUAGUUAGAGGUUUUUUUUUUACUAUUAUAAAAGGUGCAGACUUGGGAAAACUGAAAUAAGGUAUUCAAUUGUACAGAAUAGAGAGCAAGAAAAGCAGAGAGCUUUGAAAUCCAUAACCACAGGUCUGUUUCGGUUUUCCUAUAGAGAAAAGAAAGAAACAGAGGUGAGGAGGGUUCUUGGGGAAAGCCUAUAAGUUCUUUGUUUUUUAUUCUUGUGUAAAUUCUGGUUGGUACAAUUUAAUAAAGGCUUCAGGAAAUCAGUGUGAAUGUAGAUCAAGUUGAUCGAACCACGAUAAUUCUCUUGUGUUCUUGAUCUUGGUUGAUUGUCUACAAGCUGUUUGAUUUUAUUCCUAAGAGAAGUUCUUGCAAACUGGUUGUCUUUUUCUGGUUUAGUUUCUGCUCUAAUAGUCCCUAAUUCAAGACUGGCUUUUCUCAACAGCAUGGUUUGAAACACAUAAUUUUCACCAUUCAAAUGCAAAACAAUUAACUAAUUUCAAAUGCUAUGUGUUGUUUCCUUCUAAUUUCCCCUUUAUUUUUUUUUCUCUCCUAUUUUCCUUCAAAUUUUUGGAAAACCAAACAGAGCCUAAAAGAAAAGAUAAUUUUACUUAUUUUGAAAGUUGUUUCAUGUUAAUUUAAUGAAGCAUUUAUAAUAUUAAGAUCGCCCUUUCAUAAUCAUGAGGUAACCUUAGUUUCAACUUCUACAAGAGGCUAAAUGAAAAAAGCUAUCACAGAGAAGAAGGCCUCAGCCAAUGAGUGGAAAAUACAAUUUUAUUAAUACUUGAUAUCAAAAAAAAGAAAAAAAAAAAAAAGGAUGAUUUUACUUUCAAACCAAGGAUUUAUUUAUGUUGAAGUGCAGUCUCCAUAUGCACAUGUGACUGCAUUUACAGGAUAAAGAAAGACAAGGAAAUUAACAAUGUUGGACUUACUGGAAAAUCAUACAAAUUAUUGAAGGAGGACCUUAGCUAGGCUAACUGUCUCCUAAAUUGCCCAUCUUUUAUAUAUCUUUGCAAUCAUCCAUCUCAUCAUCAGCUUUGAUUUUAGAUGGUGAGGAUGUGAAAGUAACAGGAAGCAGUGGACGAUUGUUCACAGUGAGGCUUAGCACAUCAGCUCUCGAAUAAUGUCCUACCACAUCGAACUGGAACUUUGCUUUAGGAAUCUCUCCACGAACAUCUGCAUAUCAAGUGAUCAUCAAAAUAUUUGAUCAGCCCGUGAUAAAUAUCAUAGAGUAUCAAGUCUUCCAUGAAACCAUGUUUGCAGUCCUUUUAAACCUAAAGAAUUGACUCAUUUGCCUUAUCUGCAUACUGAAAUAUUUGGAUAUACAAUUGGAGAAGUUAGGGCCAUACCAAGAUCAGCUGUGAAGAGGCCUUCUCCUUCAUAAUUUGGUCCUGCUAGAAUUUCGCCAUGGGGCGAAAUGAUGACACUACCUCCAGCCCAAACAAUAGAAUCUGGAGUGACAUCUUCUUCUGUAGGACUGUAAAGAUACUCAGGUGGAGGUGGGUAAUCUUUCCUCCGACAGAACUGGAUGGGUGAAAGAACAUAGCAUCCACCCUCAAUAGCGAUGUGUCUCAUUGUGGCUACCCAUUUAUCCCCGGAAUCGGCAGUAGGAGCACAAUAUAUCUCAAUACCUAUAUAUAUGAACAUUGGUAUUCUGUGAUCAAUCAAUCCCAUAUCAAAGCCACAAUGUAUUUCAAGACUGCUUAGAUUAAAACCCUAAUAAUGUAAAAGGGUGCUGGAGGUCCUAUUUGGUAAUUGUCUUCGGAACAGUUUUGAGAAAUAGUUUUUGAAAGUUGUUCUUUAAUAGUUUAUAAAACAUAAGAAUAUUUGAAACCUAAAAUAUAUUCAACUUAUUAAAAAUAAUUUUUAUAUUUAAUACUUUAUUUUUAAAUAUUCUUCAUAUUUAUAUAAUUAUUUUUUAAAACAACCUUAAAAACAAA
This 16001-nucleotide long non-coding RNA is filed under the name Vitis vinifera (wine grape). RNAcentral's name for it is "long non-coding RNA (VVIN_LNC000544)". The record is from RNAcentral. Lineage: Eukaryota; Viridiplantae; Streptophyta; Magnoliopsida; Vitales; Vitaceae.